GAUGAACGCUGGCGGCGUGCCUAAUACAUGCAAGUCGAGCGAACAGACGAGGAGCUUGCUCCUCUGACGUUAGCGGCGGACGGGUGAGUAACACGUGGAUAACCUACCUAUAAGACUGGGAUAACUUCGGGAAACCGGAGCUAAUACCGGAUAAUAUAUUGAACCGCAUGGUUCAAUAGUGAAAGACGGUUUUGCUGUCACUUAUAGAUGGAUCCGCGCCGCAUUAGCUAGUUGGUAAGGUAACGGCUUACCAAGGCAACGAUGCGUAGCCGACCUGAGAGGGUGAUCGGCCACACUGGAACUGAGACACGGUCCAGACUCCUCGGGAGGCAGCAGUAGGGAAUCUUCCGCAAUGGGCGAAAGCCUGACGGAGCAACGCCGCGUGAGUGAUGAAGGUCUUCGGAUCGUAAAACUCUGUUAUUAGGGAAGAACAAAUGUGUAAGUAACUAUGCACGUCUUGACGGUACCUAAUCAGAAAGCCACGGCUAACUACGUG
Molecule: ribosomal RNA, 496 nt
Filed under: uncultured bacterium
Lineage: Bacteria
Description: partial 16S ribosomal RNA
Rfam family: Bacterial small subunit ribosomal RNA
Source: RNAcentral